GAGAGUUUGAUCAUGGCUCAGAUUGAACGCUGGCGGCAGGCCUAACACAUGCAAGUCGAGCGGAAACGAGUUCACUGAACCUUCGGGGAACGUGAACGGCGUCGAGCGGCGGACGGGUGAGUAAUGCCUGGGAAAUUGCCCUGAUGUGGGGGAUAACCAUUGGAAACGAUGGCUAAUACCGCAUAAUAGCUUCGGCUCAAAGAGGGGGACCUUCGGGCCUCUCGCGUCAGGAUAUGCCCAGGUGGGAUUAGCUAGUUGGUGAGGUAAGGGCUCACCAAGGCAACGAUCCCUAGCUGGUCUGAGAGGAUGAUCAGCCACACUGGAACUGAGACACGGUCCAGACUCCUACGGGAGGCAGCAGUGGGGAAUAUUGCACAAUGGGCGCAAGCCUGAUGCAGCCAUGCCGCGUGUAUGAAGAAGGCCUUCGGGUUGUAAAGUACUUUCAGCAGUGAGGAAGGUUCAUACGUUAAUAGCGUANGGAUUGACGU
Molecule: ribosomal RNA, 488 nt
Filed under: uncultured Vibrio sp.
Lineage: Bacteria; Pseudomonadati; Pseudomonadota; Gammaproteobacteria; Vibrionales; Vibrionaceae
Description: bacterial SSU rRNA
Rfam family: Bacterial small subunit ribosomal RNA
Source: RNAcentral